CCUACGGGUGGCUGCAGUGGGGAAUAUUGGACAAUGGGCGAAAGCCUGAUCCAGCCAUGCCGCGUGUGUGAAGAAGGCCUUCGGGUUGUAAAGCACUUUCAGUGGGGAAGAAAGCCUUGGGGCUAAUACCCUCGAGGAAGGACAUCACCCACAGAAGAAGCACCGGCUAACUCCGUGCCAGCAGCCGCGGUAAUACGGAGGGUGCGAGCGUUAAUCGGAAUUACUGGGCGUAAAGCGCGCGUAGGGGGUCUGAUAAGCCGGUUGUGAAAGCCCCGGGCUCAACCUGGGAACGGCAUCCGGAACUGUCAGGCUAGAGUGCAGGAGAGGAAGGUAGAAUUCCCGGUGUAGCGGUGAAAUGCGUAGAGAUCGGGAGGAAUACCAGUGGCGAAGGCGGCCUUCUGGACUGACACUGACGCUGAGGUGCGAAAGCGUGGGUAGCAAACAGGAUUAGAUACACCUGUAGUC
This 465-nucleotide ribosomal RNA is filed under the name Vreelandella stevensii. RNAcentral describes it as "partial 16S ribosomal RNA". It matches the Rfam family "Bacterial small subunit ribosomal RNA", at positions 338 to 795 of the family's 1533-position model. Lineage: Bacteria; Pseudomonadati; Pseudomonadota; Gammaproteobacteria; Oceanospirillales; Halomonadaceae. The record is from RNAcentral.